RNAcentral lists this ribosomal RNA (484 nucleotides) under uncultured bacterium. RNAcentral's name for it is "partial 16S ribosomal RNA". It matches the Rfam family "Bacterial small subunit ribosomal RNA", at positions 30 to 507 of the family's 1533-position model. The record is from RNAcentral.
AUUGAACGCUGGCGGCAGGCCUAACACAUGCAAGUCGAGCGGAUGAAGGGAGCUUGCUCCUGGAUUCAGCGGCGGACGGGUGAGUCAUGCCUAGGAAUCUGCCUGGUAGUGGGGGAUAACGUCCGGAUACGGGCGCUAAUACCGCAUACGUCCUGAGGGAGCAAGUGGGGGAUCUUCGGACCUCACGCUAUCAGAUGAGCCUAGGUCGGAUUAGCUAGUUGGUGGGGUAAAGGCCUACCAAGGCGACGAUCCGUAACUGGUCUGAGAGGAUGAUCAGUCACACGGGAACUGAGACACGGUCCAGACUCCGACGGGAGGCAGCAGUGGGGAAUAUUGGACGAUGGGCGAAAGCCUGAUCCAGCCAUGCCGCGUGUGGGAAGAAGGUCUUCGGAUUGUAAAGCACUUUAAGUUGGGAGGAAGGGCAGUAAGUUUAUACCUUGCUGUUUUGACGGUACCAACAGAAUAAGCACCGGCUAACUUCGUG